Molecule: long non-coding RNA, 508 nt
Organism: Schistocerca serialis cubense
Lineage: Eukaryota; Metazoa; Arthropoda; Insecta; Orthoptera; Acrididae
Exons: 3
Source: RefSeq, a predicted model, not a curated record
AGCAGUAUUCAUCCGCGUUUCCUGCGACGUUCCUAAAUCCUUACCAACUCAAAAAGUUAGAAAAAUAGGGAACGCCCCAGGUUUCAGAAAUUUGCCACACACACUAAAAUAGCGUUAGAUGAAAAAUUAAAGAAGUCUACGGCCUAUUUGCUGCACAAUAAAGAAAUUUUAUACGGCCAAUUUUUGUUCCAGAAGGCGGUAGAAUAUACGACUAUGUUCUAGCUUCGCGGACGAAUACACAAUACGACUGCGCGAGGGGUUCUUAUAUAAAUAUUCGGCAAUCAUGGGCGCUGGUUGAGUUAUGACGAGUUGAUGAUGGUGCGUCGGGAGCGAUAGCGUGGUGUUUUUUGUGGCAGUGCGGAAGUUGCUGGGCUGAUGAAGAGAACUGGAAGCAAGGAAAGUGUUAGGAGGAUUGGGUUUGUUGAGAAUUUGUAAAGGUUUUGUUCCUUAAAGAUAUUUACUUGUAUGAAUAAAGUUUCAAAUAAAGACUACAAUUUGUAGCAAAUAA